Molecule: ribosomal RNA, 540 nt
Filed under: uncultured bacterium
Lineage: Bacteria
Description: bacterial SSU rRNA
Rfam family: Bacterial small subunit ribosomal RNA
Source: RNAcentral
UCAAGAAUAUUCCGCAAUGGCCGAAAGGCUGACGGAGCGACGCCGCGUGCAGGAAGACGCCCUUCGAGGUGUAAACUGCUUUUAUGAGGGACGAAUUUGUGACGGUACCUCAGGAAUAAGAGGUUGCUAACUCUGUGCCAGCAGCAGCGGUAAUACAGAGACCUCGAGCGUUAUCCGGAUUCAUUGGGCGUAAAGCGUCCGCAAGUGGUUUGGUUAGUUAAUGGUUAAAUCCUGGUGCUUAACAUCAGGACCGCCAUUAAUACUGCCAGACUAGAGACUGGGAGAGGCAAGCGGAACACACGGUGUAGUCGUAAUAAGCGCUGAUAUCGUGUGGAACACCAAAGGCGAAGGCAGCUUGCUGGAACAUGUCUGACACUCAUGGACGAAAGCGUGGGUAGCGAAUGGGAUUAGAUACCCCAGUAGUCCACGCCCUAAACGAUGUGCACUAGGUAUUGGAAGUAUCGACCCUUCCAAGUGCCGUUUUAAAAAAAGCUAACGCGUUAAAGUGCACCGCCUGGGGAAGUACGGCCGCAAGGUUAA